Molecule: unclassified non-coding RNA, 272 nt
Filed under: Ascomycota sp.
Lineage: Eukaryota; Fungi; Ascomycota
Description: partial contains small subunit ribosomal RNA, internal transcribed spacer 1, and 5.8S ribosomal RNA
Rfam family: Eukaryotic small subunit ribosomal RNA (bases 1-47)
Source: RNAcentral
AAAGUCGUAACAAGGUUUCCGUAGGUGAACCUGCGGAAGGAUCAUUAUCCAUCCUUAACAGGUGCGGUCGCGGCCCCUGGGGGCUCCCCCAGGUGGUAAGGUGAAAUACCCUAUCGCGCCGCAUACCCGCAUCCUUUUUUUACGAGCACCUUUCGUUCUCCUUCGGCGGGGCAACCUGCCGCUGGAACCUGAUAAACCUUUUUUGCAUCUAGUAUUACCUGUUCUGAUACAAACAAUCGUUACAACUUUCAACAAUGGAUCUCUUGGCUCUG